RNAcentral lists this ribosomal RNA (453 nucleotides) under uncultured bacterium. Its description in RNAcentral is "partial 16S ribosomal RNA". It matches the Rfam family "Bacterial small subunit ribosomal RNA", at positions 28 to 523 of the family's 1533-position model. The record is from RNAcentral.
GAUGAACGCUGGCGGUCUGCUUAACACAUGCAAGUCGAACGGAAUCCUUCGGGAUUUAGUGGCGGACGGGUGAGUAACGCGUGAGAAUCUGCCUUCAGGUUCGGGACAACAGCUGGAAACGGCUGCUAAUACCGGAUGCGCCGAGAGGUGAAAGCUUUAGUGCCUGAAGAUGAGCUCGCGUCUGAUUAGCUAGUAGGAGUGGUAAUGGCACCCCUAGGCGACGAUCAGUAGCUGGUCUGAGAGGAUGAUCAGCCACACUGGGACUGAGACACGGCCCAGACUCCUACGGGAGGCAGCAGUGGGGAAUUUUCCGCAGUGGGCGCAAGCCUGACGGAGCAAGACCGCGUGAGGGAAGAAGGUCUGUGGAUUGUAAACCUCUUUUGAUGGGGAAGAAGACAGUGACGGUACCCAUCGAAUCAGCCUCGGCUAACUCCGUGCCAGCAGCCGCGGUAA